Molecule: long non-coding RNA, 477 nt
Filed under: Rattus norvegicus (Norway rat)
Lineage: Eukaryota; Metazoa; Chordata; Mammalia; Rodentia; Muridae
Description: long non-coding RNA NONRATT031778
Source: RNAcentral
GUCACAAUGGAGGCUAUGGCGCCAAUUUGUGGUAAAGCAAGAGAGAAACCAGAGUGCUAACUCUCGAGCUUGCUCUUGUCCUGGGAGGAGGCCAUCAGAGAGAGAGCCCCCUUCUGUGGAAUGAUUUGAUUGAACAUCAGAUAUCUGGAGUUCUUUUAUUGUCUGACUGGAUUAUUCAUGCUCUCAAGAGUAAGAUCAUUUACUUUCCUCUUGGAGCCAGAGGGGCUAGAGUCCAGAUUUGCCACAUCGCUCCGGCAAACCUCAGGAGCAGCAGAGAGCCCAGGCACCAGGAGAGCUGAGCCAGAGCUCGCCCGAGUUUACUGCUGUGUCACCACCAUCACCAACAUAAUUAAGAACUUUCUCAAAUGAGACCAUAAGGAAAAGCACAGACUGCAAAAGGACGGCCCGCCGGCUUGGAGAACGUGGACACAGUAGACUUUGAUCCUGCUGGAUCCCCUAGUAAAGGACAACACAGUC